RNAcentral lists this ribosomal RNA (495 nucleotides) under uncultured bacterium. RNAcentral describes it as "partial 16S ribosomal RNA". It matches the Rfam family "Bacterial small subunit ribosomal RNA", at positions 28 to 507 of the family's 1533-position model. The record is from RNAcentral.
GACGAACGCUGGCGGCGUGCCUAAUACAUGCAAGUAGAACGCUGAAGGAGGAGCUUGCUCUUCUGGAUGAGUUGCGAACGGGUGAGUAACGCGUAGGUAACCUGCCUUGUAGCGGGGGAUAACUAUUGGAAACGAUAGCUAAUACCGCAUAACAGUAGAUGUUGCAUGACAUUUACUUAAAAGUUGCAAUUGCAUCACUACCAGAUGGACCUGCGUUGUUUUAGCUAGUUGGUGGGGUAAAGGCUCACCAAGGCGACGAUACAUAGCCGACCUGAGAGGGGGAUCGGCCAAACUGGGACUGAGACACGGCACAGAGGCCUACGGGAGGCAGCAGGAGGGAAACUGGGGGAAUGGACGGAAGUCUGAACGAGAAACGCCGCGUGAGGGAAGAAGGAUGUCGGAUCGGAAAGAUCGGUUGUAAGAGAAGAAAGAGUGUGAGAGUGGAAAGUACACAGUGUGACGGUAACUGACAAGAAAGGGACGGCUAACUACGUG